CAAUGAUUUUUUAAAUUGCUGUGGUAUUUUGACUAUACGAAGGUAUUGAAAUAAGAUUUUAAAUGAGUGCUAAGAGAAUGGUUAAACAAUUAAAGACUUUCUUUAAUUAAAGAAUUAAAUUUAAUUUUUUAAGUGCAAAAGCAAAAAUGAAAAUUAGGGACAAGAAGACCCUAUGAAUUUUUUAUUUAAUUUUUAAUUAUUUAAUUUAAAUUAAAUUUGAUUGGGGCGAUGGAAAAAGAAUAUAUAUCUUUUUUGGAUUAUAAUAAAUUGGUUCCGUUUUUAACGAUUAAAUGAAAAAAAUACUCUAGGGAUAACAGCGUAAUAAUUUUGGAUAGUUCAUAUAGAUAAAAUAGUUUGCGACCUCGAUGUUGGAUUAGGAUUCUUUUUCGGUGAAGAAGUUGAGAGAAGAAGUUUGUUCAACUUUUAAUUUCCUACUUGAUCUGAG
Molecule: ribosomal RNA, 445 nt
Filed under: Ixodes acuminatus
Lineage: Eukaryota; Metazoa; Arthropoda; Arachnida; Ixodida; Ixodidae
Description: partial 16S ribosomal RNA
Rfam family: Bacterial large subunit ribosomal RNA (bases 310-445)
Source: RNAcentral